GAUGAACGCUGGCGGCGUGCCUAAUACAUGCAAGUCGAGCGAACGGACGAGAAGCUUGCUUCUCUGAUGUUAGCGGCGGACGGGUGAGUAACACGUGGAUAACCUACCUAUAAGACUGGGAUAACUUCGGGAAACCGGAGCUAAUACCGGAUAAUAUUUUGAACCGCAUGGUUCAAAAGUGAAAGACGGUCUUGCUGUCACUUAUAGAUGGAUCCGCGCUGCAUUAGCUAGUUGGUAAGGUGACGGCUUACCAAGGCAACGAUGCAUAGCCGACCUGAGAGGGUGAUCGGCCAAACUGGACCUGAGACACGGUCCAGACUCCUACGGGAGGCAGCAGUAGGAAAUCUUCCGCAAUGGGCGAAAGCCUGACGGAGAAACGCCGCGUGAGUGAGGAAGGUCUUCGGAUCGUAAAACUCUGUUAUUAGGGAAGAACAUAUGUGUAAGUACCUGUGAACAUCUUGACGGUACCUAAUAAGAAAACCACGGCUAACUACGU
RNAcentral lists this ribosomal RNA (496 nucleotides) under uncultured bacterium. RNAcentral describes it as "partial 16S ribosomal RNA". It matches the Rfam family "Bacterial small subunit ribosomal RNA", at positions 28 to 506 of the family's 1533-position model. The record is from RNAcentral.